RNAcentral lists this ribosomal RNA (494 nucleotides) under uncultured bacterium. RNAcentral describes it as "bacterial SSU rRNA". It matches the Rfam family "Bacterial small subunit ribosomal RNA", at positions 1 to 497 of the family's 1533-position model. The record is from RNAcentral.
UUUAGAGUUUGAUCCAUGGCUCAGAAUCAACGCUGGCGGCGUGCCUAACACAUGCAAGUCGAACGAGAAAGCCUGUAGCAAUACGGGUGAGUAAAGUGGCGUACGGGUGAGUAACACGUGGAUAACCUACCUUCGAGCGGGGAAUAACCCUGGGAAACCGGGGCUAAUACCGCAUAAUAUCCCGCAACUGCGGUAGCGGGAUUGAAACCUGGAAACGGGGCUCAAAGAGGGGUCCGCGGCUGAUUAGCUAGUUGGUGAGGUAACGGCCCACCAAGGCUAUGAUCGGUAGCCGGCCUGAGAGGGCGGACGGCCACACUGGAACUGAAACACGGUCCAGACUCCUACGGGAGGCAGCAGUGGGGAAUUUUGCGCAAUGGGGGAAACCCUGACGCAGCAACGCCGCGUGGAUGAUGAAGCCCCUUGGGGUGUAAAAUCCUUUCGGCAGGGACGAAUCCCGAGCAAUCGGGCGGACGGACCUGAAGAAGAGCCCCGCA